AAUAGAUACCCGGGUAGUCCACGCCGUAAACGAUGGAUGCUAGCUAUUGGGGGGAAUCGACCCCCUCCCGAAGCGAAGCUAACGCGUUAAGCAUCCCGCCUGAGUAGUACGAGCGCAAGCUUAAAACUCAAAGGAAUUGACGGGGACCCGCACAAGCGGUGGAGCGUGUGGUUUAAUUCGAUGGUAAACGAAGAACCUUACCAAGGUUUGACAUCCCGGUAGCCGUUCUCCGAAAGGAGAAUUUCAUUUAGUUGGACCCGGUGACAGGUGAUGCAUGGCCGUCGUCAGCUCGUGUCGUGAGAUGUUGGGUUAAGUCCCGCAACGAGCGCAACCCUUAUGAUUUAGUUGGAUUUUUCUAAACAGACUGCCCUGGUAACAGGGAGGAAGGAGGGGAUGAUGUCAGGUCAGUAUUUCCCUUACGACCUUGGGGCGACACACGCGCUACAAUGGCCGGUACAAUGGGCAGCUAAGCCGCGAGGUGGAGCAAAUCCCAUCAAAGCCGGUCCCAGUUCGGAUUGCAGGCUGAAACCCGCCUGCAUGAAGCCGGAAUCGCUAGUAACC
This 561-nucleotide ribosomal RNA is filed under the name uncultured bacterium. RNAcentral's name for it is "bacterial SSU rRNA". It matches the Rfam family "Bacterial small subunit ribosomal RNA", at positions 777 to 1343 of the family's 1533-position model. The record is from RNAcentral.